AUUGAACGCUGGCGGCAGGCCUAACACAUGCAAGUCGAACGGUAACAGGAAGAAGCUUGCUUCUUUGCUGACGAGUGGCGGACGGGUGAGUAAUGUCUGGGAAACUGCCUGAUGGAGGGGGAUAACUACUGGAAACGGUAGCUAAUACCGCAUAAUGUCGCAAGACCAAAGAGGGGGACCUUCGGGCCUCUUGCCAUCGGAUGUGCCCAGAUGGGAUUAGCUAGUAGGUGGGGUAACGGCUCAUCUAGGCGACGAUCCCUAGCUGGUCUGAGAGGAUGACCAGCCACACUGGAACUGAGACACGGUCCAGACUCCUACGGGAGGCAGCAGUGGGGAAUAUUGCACAAUGGGCGCAAGCCUGAUGCAGCUAUGCCGCGUGUAUGAAGAAGGCCUUCGGGUUGUAAAGUACUUUCAGCGGGGAGGAAGGGAGUAAAGUUAAUACCUUUGCUCAUUGACGUUACCCGCAGAAGAAGCACCGGCUAACUCCGUG
This 490-nucleotide ribosomal RNA is filed under the name uncultured bacterium. RNAcentral's name for it is "partial 16S ribosomal RNA". It matches the Rfam family "Bacterial small subunit ribosomal RNA", at positions 30 to 507 of the family's 1533-position model. The record is from RNAcentral.